CAGUAGCCGCGGUAAUACGUAGGGGGCAAGCGUUAUCCGGAAUUACUGGGUGUAAAGGGAGCGUAGACGGUUAAACAAGUCUGAAGUGAAAUGCCGGGGCUUAACCCCGGAGCUGCUUUGGGAACUGUAGAACUGGAGUGUCGGAGGGGUAAGCGGAAUUCCCAGUGUAGCGGUGAAAUGCGUAGAUAUUGGGAGGAACACCGGCGGCGAAGGCGGCUUACUGGACGACAACUGACGUUGAGGCUCGAAGGCGUGGGUAGCAAACAGGAUUAGAUACCCCAGUAGUCCCUGUCUCUUAUAC
RNAcentral lists this ribosomal RNA (301 nucleotides) under uncultured bacterium. RNAcentral's name for it is "partial 16S ribosomal RNA". It matches the Rfam family "Bacterial small subunit ribosomal RNA", at positions 509 to 807 of the family's 1533-position model. The record is from RNAcentral.